Molecule: ribosomal RNA, 358 nt
Filed under: uncultured bacterium
Lineage: Bacteria
Description: bacterial SSU rRNA
Rfam family: Bacterial small subunit ribosomal RNA
Source: RNAcentral
AGAGUUUGAUCCUGGCUCAGGAUGAACGCUAGCUACAGGCUUAACACAUGCAAGUCGAGGGGAAACGACAUCGAAAGCUUGUCUUUGUAUGGUCGUCGACCGGCGCACGGGUGAGUAACGCGUAUCCAACCUGCCCAUCACUUGGGGAUAACCUUGCGAAAGUAAGACUAAUACCCAAUGAUAUCUCUAGAAGACAUCUGAAAGAGAUUAAAGAUUUAUCGGUGAUGGAUGGGGAUGCGUCUGAUUAGCUUGUUGGGCGGGGUAACGGCCCACCAAGGCAACGAUCAGUAGGGGUUCUGAGAGGAAGGUCCCCCACAUUGGAACUGAGACACGGUCCAAACUCCUAAGGGAGGCAGCA